AAGGUCUUAAGUUAUUAAACUAAUAGCCUUCAAAGCUGGAAUUAAAACUAUCAGUUUUAGGCCUUA
RNAcentral lists this transfer RNA (66 nucleotides) under Oecanthus rufescens. RNAcentral describes it as "tRNA-Trp". RNAcentral also lists the same sequence under 1 other name. The record is from RNAcentral. Lineage: Eukaryota; Metazoa; Arthropoda; Insecta; Orthoptera; Gryllidae.